GAUGAACGCUGGCGGCGUGCCUAACACAUGCAAGUCGAACGGAAAGGCCCUGCUUUUGUGGGGUGCUCGAGUGGCGAACGCGUGAGUAACACGUGAGUAACCCGUCCUUGAAAUUCGGAUAACUUCACGAAAAAGGGGCUAAUACCGGAUAGGAGCUCUUGCUGCACGGUGGUGGUUGGUAAGAGUCGGCGGUUGGGGAUCGACUAGCGGCUUAUCCGCUUGAUGGUGGGGUAGUGGAUUUCCAAGGCUAUGACGGGUAGCCGACCUGGGAGGGUGGACGGCCACAAUGGGACUGAGAGACGGACCAGUAUCCUACGGUAGGCAGUAGGGGGGAGUAUUGCGGAAUGAGCGGGAGCGUGAUGCAGCAGCGCUGCGUGCGGAAUAACGUCCUUCGGGUGGAAAACCGCUUUCGCCUGUGACGAAGAGUGAGUGACGGUAAUUGGUAAAAAAGCACCGGCUAACUACGUG
This 468-nucleotide ribosomal RNA is filed under the name uncultured bacterium. Its description in RNAcentral is "partial 16S ribosomal RNA". It matches the Rfam family "Bacterial small subunit ribosomal RNA", at positions 28 to 507 of the family's 1533-position model. The record is from RNAcentral.